This is a long non-coding RNA of Homo sapiens (human), 3365 nucleotides long. The record is from Ensembl. NCBI's taxonomy places the organism in Eukaryota, Metazoa, Chordata, Mammalia, Primates, Hominidae.
CGCUGUUAGCGCUGCUCGCGCUGCUGGGAGGCUGCGGCGGCGGCGGCGGCGGCGCCGCGGCACUGCCCGCCUGCUGCAAGCACGAUGGGCGUCCCCGAGGGGCUGGCAGGGCGGCGGGCGCCGCCGAGGGCAAGGUGGUGUGCAGCAUCCUGGAGCUCGCGCAGGUCCUGCCCCCAGAUACUCUGCCCAACCGCACGGUCACCCUGAUUCUGAGUAACAAUAAGAUAUCCGAGCUGCAGAAUGGCUCAUUUUCUGGGUUAACUCUCCUUGAAAGAUUGGACCUCCGAAACAAUCUUAUUAGUCGUAUAGAUCCAGGUGCCUUUUGGGGACUGUCAUCUCUAAAAAGGUUGGAUCUGACAAACAAUCGAAUAGGAUGUCUGAAUGCAAACAUAUUUCGAGGACUCACCAAUCUGGCUCGGCUAAACCUUUCGGGGAAUUUGUUUUCUUCAUUACCUCAAGGAACUUUUGAUUAUCUUUCCUCAUUACGGUCUUUGGAAUUCCAGACUGAGUAUCUUUUGUGUGACUGUAACCUACUGUGGAUGCAUCGCUGGGUAAAGGAGAGGAACAUCACGGUACAGGAUACCAGGUGUGUUUAUCCUAAGUCACUGCAGGCCCAACCAGUCACAGGCGUGAAGCAGGAGCUGUUGACAUGCGACCCUCCGCUUGAAUUGCCGUCUUUCUACAUGACUCCAUCUCAUCGCCAAGUUGUGUUUGAAGGAGACAGCCUUCCUUUCCAGUGCAUGGCUUCAUAUAUUGAUCAGGACAUGCAAGUGUUGUGGUAUCAGGAUGGGAGAAUAGUUGAAACCGAUGAAUCGCAAGGUAUUUUUGUUGAAAAGAACGUGAUUCACAACUGCUCCUUGAUUGCAAGUGCCCUAACCGUUUCUAAUAAUCAGGCUGGAUCUACUGGAAAUUAGGGCUGUCAUGUCCAGACCAAACGUGGGAAUAAUACGAGGACUGUGGAUAUUGUGGUAUUAGAGAGUUCUGCACAGUACUGUCCUCCAGAGAGGGUGGUAAACAACAAAGGUGAUUUCAGAUGGCCCAGAACAUUGGCGGGCAUUACUGCGUAUCUGCAGUGUACGCAGAACACCCAUGGCAGUGGGAUAUAUCCCGGAAACCCACAGGAUGAGAGAAAAGCUUGGCGCAGAUGUGAUAGAGGCGGCUUUUGGGCAGAUGAUGAUUAUUCUCGCUGUCAGUAUGCAAAUGAUGUCACUAGAGUUCUUUAUAUGUUUAAUCAGAUGCCCCUCAAUCUUACCAAUGCCGUGGCAACAGCUCUACAGUUACUGGCUUACACUGUGGAAGCAGCCAACUUUUCUGACAAAAUGGAUGUUAUAUUUGUGGCGGAAAUGAUUGAAAAACUUGGAAGAUUUACCAAAGAGGAAAAAUCAAAAGAGGUACUUUUCUAAAUUCAGAUUUGUAGCAUACAGUGUCAACAAAUGGUAGUGUGACAGAGUUCAAUCUGUAUAUUUUAAGGCCUGUUUAUGUUUAUCAUAUUUGAACUAAAAGCACGCUUUUAAAUUUCCAGAAUUUUGUGGAGAUACUUCUGCCUCUUCUCUUAUAAUGACCUGUUUGUUACUGGGACUGGGAGAGAUGAACUCUCAGUUCCUGGACAUUAAGGUCCAGAGAUAUAGCAGAGGUUGCUGGUGAGAAAGUAGUGCUCUGCCUCCACACUGUGGCUUAGGCAGGGCUGCUUAGCUCAGCCUGCUGGAUUUCUCUUCUCCACACACCCCUGAGCUCAUCUUUUGUAACGGGAGUUUUAGUCACCCAGAUCUUGUAGUAAAUUCCUUUUAAUUGUCCUUGUAAUGUCCUAGAGAAAUGAGAGGCUGUUUAGGCGCUUUUUUGAAAUUCAAAAUGAUUGGACUAUAUAAGUUUUAAAAAUGCAGUGAAUUCUACAAGUGGUGUAUUUUACCUUAACGGGACCACAUUGAAACCAUGAUAUGCUUGUCCACAUGAUAUCUUCUAGGGGAAAGAAAUUGACAAGCACAGUUUACAGAAUGAAUGAGCAGCAAAUUAAUGCUUUGAAUAAUUUUUAAGGGGCAGAAUUAUUGUGUUCUUAAGCUUUAUGUUUAAAGCUUUGUGAGAACUUUAUAUGUACAAUUUCUUUUGUGAUAUAAUCACUUAUAAAGAAAUGAAUUAUAGAGGUAGAGGGAACCUCAAGCAAGUUGUAAACUGAAGCCCACGCUUAGGUUAGGGCAGGCCUGAAAACAGAACCCAAGAUCCCUGACUCAUCCAUAAGAGUUUUCUGUAGCAUCACAUUCACCUUCUCAUACAAUGUGGCCCUGACUUGCAAUUCUAAAAGUGCUUUGUAUACAACUGUGGGGAAAACACUGGGCUGAACAAAACCUGCAUAUUUCUUUAUGUAGAACUUCUCAGAUCCAUUAAUAUUGCUAAAAUGUAAAUAAUAAGCCUUGUUUUCCUAAAUCAUUCUAAUAUAUUUUUAUAUAUCAAUUAUAUAUACACACACUUAUAUAUCACAUAUAUAUUCUAAUAUAUAAUAUAUAUUUAGAUAUAUCUAAUAUGUAUAUCACAUAUUUAUAUAACUAAUAUAGAUAUAUUCUUAUAUAUAAUAUAUAUAUAAGAAUUAGUAUCUUGCAUUCUGGUAAUAAGUUUUUGGAACUGUGGCCCUAGUGCAUUAGGCACUUUACUUGAUAGGAUGUAGUUAUUAAAGGAAGGAAAAUAGAUAUAUGUAUAUAAACGAGACUUAGGCAGAUGGGCCACCUCACUUGUCAGCGGGAUAAUAUUUCAUUGGUUUUCUGAACUUCAGGGGCCAUGAUUUUCUAAUAACUGCUCCUGAUACUUGUGUCUCCAGGGCACAGCCCACUUUCCUGCAGUGAAUGUUCCUUGCACUGGGAGAGGCCGUUUGGAUUCUGGCUCUGUGAUUAAUAUUGUGCUCCAUUGUUGCUUAAGAUGAUGGGUUAGCUGCCCACAGGAUUAGCAGUCAUUUCUGGGAGUGGGAUGUUUCUAGUUACUAGAAUAAUUGUAAUGACAUUUGGAAUGUGGACAUGGAAGAACAUUCGCCAUCGAAGAAUACAUAUUUAUGAUGUGACCCUGUUUUGCUCACCUCUCAACUUGAGCAACAUGGUGUCCAGAGGUGUAUGUUGAACUGUUUGCCAGCGUGUGGAAGAAUGGUUGACUGCGUUGACGGGUUUCUUAGGUGGAAGCAUCGUAUUGAACUGGAAGUAGACGUGAUUUCAUUAGUUAUUAAUUAACCAUGGGCUUAUUCUUCAUUUAUCAAAUGGGGAUGCUAUUUUCUCUGUAUAAUUUGAAAAGUGUAUGUGCACAAAUACAGGUGAACAAUUUUGCAAAAUAGUUGCAAAGCUUGGUUAUCAUUUUAUUAGGUUAUGAAAUAAAACAUUUUUAUGACCUCA